UGCGUAGGCGGCGCGGUAAGUCGGGUGUGAAAUCUCGGAGCUUAACUCCGAAACUGCAUUCGAUACUGCCGUGCUUGAGGACUGGAGAGGAGACUGGAAUUUACGGUGUAGCGGUGAAAUGCGUAGAUAUCGUAGGGAAGACCAGUGGCGAAGGCGGGUCUCUGGACAGUUCCUGACGCUGAGGCACGAAGGCCAGGGGAGCAAACGG
Molecule: ribosomal RNA, 208 nt
Filed under: uncultured bacterium
Lineage: Bacteria
Description: partial 16S ribosomal RNA
Rfam family: Bacterial small subunit ribosomal RNA
Source: RNAcentral